UUGACUUGACCUAUGGGAACCUCGUGUUCUU
Molecule: non-coding RNA, 31 nt
Filed under: Mus musculus (house mouse)
Lineage: Eukaryota; Metazoa; Chordata; Mammalia; Rodentia; Muridae
Source: RNAcentral